CAUUUCCAGAAGAACAAUGGCAAGGUUCCAGCCGCCGUGAUCGCUGCCUUCAACAGCCAGCUUCCGGGCACUCAAUCCAUCGCCGCCACAUUGUUUGCCGCCACACCUCCGGUUCCUGACCACGUGUUGACCAAGGCUUUCCAGGUGGGGACCAAGGAGGUUGAGAAAAUCAAGUCUAGGUUGGCACCCAAGAAGUAAUUGAAAGAGGGUGGGUGUUGGGCCUUGUCUGUUGCUAGUGUUACCACUGGAUUUAUGGGAUUUGUUCUUCAUAAUAUUUAGAACUUAUUUCUUUAGUCUUUCAAAAAUGAGAAUCCUUAAUUAUUUUUCUUAUUUAGCAAAGAAAUAAAAAUCUCUGUUGAUCUUUUU
This 366-nucleotide unclassified non-coding RNA is filed under the name Hevea brasiliensis (rubber tree). The record is from RNAcentral. Lineage: Eukaryota; Viridiplantae; Streptophyta; Magnoliopsida; Malpighiales; Euphorbiaceae.